UGGGGGAUAUUGCACAAUGGGCGAAAGCCUGAUGCAGCGACGCCGCGUGGGGGAUGAAGGCUUUCGGGUUGUAAACCUCUUUCGCUAUCGAACAAGGCCCGCUUAGGGUGGGUUGAGGGUAGGUGGAGAAGAAGCGCCGGCUAACUACGUGCCAGCAGCCGCGGUAAUACGUAGGGCGCGAGCGUUGUCCGGAAUUAUUGGGCGUAAAGGGCUUGUAGGCGGCUUGUUGCGCCUGCUGUGAAAACGCGGGGCUUAACUUCGCGCGUGCAGUGGGUACGGGCAGGCUUGAGUGGGGUAGGGGUGACUGGAAUUCCAGGUGUAGCGGAGGAAUGCGCAGAUAUCUGGAGGAACACCGAUGGCGAAGGCAGGUCACUGGGCCAUUACUGACGCUGAGGAGCGAAAGCAUGGGUAGCGAACAGG
Molecule: ribosomal RNA, 420 nt
Filed under: bacterium
Lineage: Bacteria
Description: partial 16S ribosomal RNA
Rfam family: Bacterial small subunit ribosomal RNA
Source: RNAcentral